UUCUAAAAUGGAAAAAAACCAGGAGAGUUUUUAUUUAACCAGAAGACCAGGAGAAACAAACAAAAUCCGGUAGACUGGAUUUUGCCUGUUUCUCAUGGUCUACCGGUUUAAUAAAAAUUUUCCUGGAUUUUGUAUAAUUUAUAAAAUUCUCUAAAACUGAGUAGGUUACCUAAAAAAAAAUGUACUGAAAUAGAAUAAGUAUGGAUAAUGCAUAAUGAAGAAUAUCUCAUUUAUAGAAAUCAACUUAAAACGUUUUUUGUUGUUCUAAAAUGUACAGUUUAUUUUUAUUCAGAACUCGCUUUUUAAAUUAAUUAAAAACUCUUUUAGCUAUCUUUGAUGAAGUAAAUGCCUAUUACAAUUCAAAAUUAUAAGUAAACAUAACAUUUCAAUCAUAACUGGAAAAUAUUGAAAUUUUUCUAAUAUGAUGGCUUUAAAAAAUCCUUAAAAUCUUUUCAUUAUCUUUGAAUUAAAUUCAUAUUAAUAUUCAAAAUUAUGAGUAAACAUGAUAAAUAACAUUCCAAAUUCACUUGAUGUCAAUUAUAUUUGGAAAAUAUUGCAGGCCUUUUACAAAUAUAAGUUUAAUUAAGUUUUUGUAUUUUGAUGACUAAAAAAAUACCUAAAAUUCCCCGCAUGGUCAAAUAUUUAGUAUAUUAUGCAAUUAUUAUUAUGAAAUUUAUAUUAUUCCAUGAAAUUUACUGGAUUUUUUUCCUAUCCAUAUUUGCAGCUGUGUAUAUAUGUUUAACUGGCUUGAAUUUGUAAAUAUGAGUUUCCCUCUCUUACUUUCACUCUUAUAUAUAUUGUCAUGGAGCAUAGCUCUUUUAAAAAGUGAUUAAAGGUGCUUUUUUCAUGGGGUGUUUUUAAAAAGUGCUAAAUUUUUCCUUUUCGAAAAUGAGAUUUCUUCCCUAACUGUGUUGAUUUUUGCUGCAUACAAUACCAAUGUAAAAGCAUGGUUUUUUGUUCUAUUCAACAUUUUCACAAAUCAUUCAACCACAAUCCAGUUCGGCGUACCGUCGGCCCGCAGCACCCCAAUCAUGUUUGAUGAAAUACUUGCGAGUUCGUAUGCGCGUCUAUUGAGCUGGGUUCGGUGAGUUCUUGCACUCUCAUGUGCAACUCUGCUGCAUUUGCAAGAUAUCCUCCAUUUCAGACUUCAUUUCCACCCUCUGAAAUUGAACCGAAAAAUCUUGAUCUUUUUAUCGUGGCUAAUAACAUCAAGAAAAGAAUUCUUUGUCAGAAACUAGUUAUUUUAUCAUGAUCGUGUAAAGUCUGAAAACUAUUUUGCAUUUUGUUAAUCUAUAUAGUGCUUAGAAAUAUUUUUUGAGUGCUUAAAAAGUACUUUAAAGGUGCUUAUUUUUUGUUGAGAGAUUUGGCUACGCACCUUGAUUGCCCUUUAAAAGGUAAAUCCUACUUUAAAAGGAUGUUAAAACAAUGAUCGUCUUGGCAAUGUAAAAAAAAAUCACUUUGUGUUCCUAUUAUAUUAACUAUUUCUUGUUUU
Molecule: non-coding RNA, 1492 nt
Organism: Parasteatoda tepidariorum (common house spider)
Lineage: Eukaryota; Metazoa; Arthropoda; Arachnida; Araneae; Theridiidae
Source: RefSeq, a predicted model, not a curated record